This 343-nucleotide unclassified non-coding RNA is filed under the name soil metagenome. RNAcentral describes it as "partial contains 5.8S ribosomal RNA, internal transcribed spacer 2, and large subunit ribosomal RNA". The stretch from base 1 to 120 matches the Rfam family "5.8S ribosomal RNA", at positions 35 to 154 of the family's 154-position model. The record is from RNAcentral.
GAUGAAGAACGUAGCGAAAUGCGAUAAGUAAUGUGAAUUGCAGAAUCCAGUGAAUCAUCGAAUCUUUGAACGCACAUUGCGCCCGCCAGCAUUCUGGCGGGCAUGCCUGUUCGAGCGUCAUUUCAACCCUCGACCUCCCUUUGGGGAAGUCGGCGUUGGGGACCGGCAGCACACCGCCGGCCCUGAAAUGGAGUGGCGGCCCGUCCGCGGCGACCUCUGCGUAGUAAUCCAACUCGCACCGGAACCCCGACGCGGCCACGCCGUAAAACACCCAACUUCUGAACGUUGACCUCGAAUCAGGUAGGACUGCCCGCUGAACUUAAGCAUAUCAAUAAGCGGAGGA